Molecule: ribosomal RNA, 253 nt
Filed under: uncultured bacterium
Lineage: Bacteria
Description: partial 16S ribosomal RNA
Rfam family: Bacterial small subunit ribosomal RNA
Source: RNAcentral
UACAGAGGGGGCAAGCGUUGUUCGGAAUUACUGGGCGUAAAGGGCGCGUAGGCGGCCUUCUAAGUCGAACGUGAAAUCCCCGGGCUCAACCCGGGAACUGCGUCCGAUACUGGGAGGCUUGAAUCCGGGAGAGGGAUGUGGAAUUCCAGGUGUAGCGGUGAAAUGCGUAGAUAUCAGAAGGAACAUCAGUGGCGAAAGCGGCUUCCUGGUCCAGUACCGACGUUCAGGCACGAAAGCGUGGGGAGCAAACAGG